This 289-nucleotide ribosomal RNA is filed under the name uncultured eukaryote. Its description in RNAcentral is "partial large subunit ribosomal RNA". It matches the Rfam family "Eukaryotic large subunit ribosomal RNA", at positions 40 to 331 of the family's 3401-position model. The record is from RNAcentral.
AUAUUACUAAGCGGAGGAAAAGAAAUUAACGAAGAUUGCCUCAGUAGCGGCGAGCGAAGUGGCAAAAGCUCAAUUCAAAUCUGUAGUCUUCGGCUACCGAAUUGUAAUCUGAAGGGGUUAGCAAAAGGGGAUGUGGAGGCAUAAGUUGCUUGGAACAGCACGCCAAAGAGGGUGAUAGCCCCGUAUUUGGCCUCCGUAGAACCGAAUGCUGGCUUCAAAGAGUCGGGUUGUUUGGGAUUGCAGCCCUAAAUGGGAGAUAAACUUCUUCUAAGGCUAAAUAUCGAAUGGG